GGUUAAGUUAAUAAGGGCGCACGGUGGAUGCCUUGGCACUAGGAGCCGAAGAAGGACGGGACUAACUCCGAUAUGCUUUGGGGAGCUGUAAGUAAGCUUUGAUCCAA
Molecule: ribosomal RNA, 107 nt
Filed under: Carnobacterium divergens
Lineage: Bacteria; Bacillati; Bacillota; Bacilli; Lactobacillales; Carnobacteriaceae
Description: partial 23S ribosomal RNA
Rfam family: Bacterial large subunit ribosomal RNA
Source: RNAcentral